RNAcentral lists this unclassified non-coding RNA (385 nucleotides) under Hevea brasiliensis (rubber tree). Lineage: Eukaryota; Viridiplantae; Streptophyta; Magnoliopsida; Malpighiales; Euphorbiaceae. The record is from RNAcentral.
GGGUUCCGUUCUACUGUCAAUGUGGCUUUCGUGUUACUUGACAUGUCAGUAUCUGUUGAGUUCUGUACACUCCCUGAAGCAUCACUACGAGUAGAGGUGCCUGUGCUACCAGAUUCUGUCAUGGAUGGUGGGGUGUCAAAUGCUGGUCCGCUGGAUGACACACUAGGAUCAGGUGAUGGGUGUUCUGUUGCUGAAUUUUCAACACUGGUUGCUGGAGAGGAAGCAGGCUCUAUCUUUGAAGGUUCAUGUCGCUCUACUGUCUUCAAGGAACCACAACGUUCUGCAAUGGAAGAUGCAUCUACAUAAUGUUUUUGUGAAGAUUCCAUGGAAGUGGGGUUGACACUAGCCUGUUCUUGUUCAGCAUUAGGAUAUCUCAUCUCCAAGU